UCGCGCUAUGAACAGUGCACGCGCGCUAGCCUACCGAGAGCCUCCUCUCUUCCCCAAUCUGCCGCCUCCUCUUCUCCUCCUCUCCAAUCCGCCGCCUCCUCUUCUCUUCCUCCUCAUCCUCUCCUCCCCAAUCCUCCGCCUCCUCUUCUCCUCUCCAAUCCGUCGCCUCCUCUUCUCCUCCUCCCCAAUCCGUUAGCCCUCACCACCAUGAAGCCACAAGGGGGGAGGGGACUGCGCCACCACAGGGGGAGGGGACUGCGUCGCCGCUGGAAGAAAAUAGGAAGAGGAGGUGGUGCGGGGGAGACCAGCGGCAGCGACGGCACAUCGACGUACUCGACAAGGAAGCGAGCCAGAGCGCGGGCUGCUGUGAGCGUUGCGUCGCCUGGGAGCCACCAUGGAGCAGGUGCUCUUCUCCUCCCCAAUCCGUGAGGAGGCCGGCGUUGGGGGAAGGAGCAUCCAUGGUGUGGAGGAGGCGACCGGAGAGGGAUGGAUCUGGCCGGCACAGAUUGCCUCCACUGCCUUCUUUUUGGGCUGCAACGGUGGACGUUUUCUCACCUUGUGCUCCCUGUCCGGCGAUCUUCGUCUGCUUGCUCGUCCUUGCUGUCCUCACUACAUCGAUGGUUGAUGACAAGCAAGAAUCAUGAUUUUGCCGAUAUACGUAUCUACAACAUGAGUUGCCAUGAAAGGUAUCUUUUCAUCCAGCUCAUUUACUUGUUUGGUUUUUAUCAGGUGAUGAAGUUGACAGACCUCUUAUUUUAUUGAGAUGUAUGGUUAUGCCUAGAGUUGCAGUUUCAACAUUACAAUCAACAUUAAAAUGCACAGGCACUGGACCAAUGGCACUUGCUUGGCCCUUGACUAGACAUGAGUUGCUUUCUCUUUUGUGGUGACUGCCAAAGAACAAAUCUCUUUGUUUCUACAAAUAUGUGAUGCUUUCUAUAGCAGGCAAGAUGUCUGAAGGAAUGCACAAAAGGGAAUAGGAUGUGAGUGCGUACUAAUGUUAUUAUAUUCUGUAUCAACUAUGUUCGCUCGUAUGAACUAAGAAUUGUAUCUACUAUAUUGAGAUAGAGAGUGCUUAUUCUACACCCCAGCUUGCUAGAUGGUAAUGUUCAGAACCUGUUUUGGGACUCAAGGGCAUGUGAGCAAGGGGAGCAUUCUGUGAGUAAGAACCCUGUCAUAGAUGGAUAAUUUAUGAUUAUGGCAUCUUUUGUCUUGACAGUCGACCAUUUUAUUUGUAGAGAUAUUUGAUCCUCACGGUAUUCUUAGGUUUCUACAGAAUUUACAAGACAUAAUAGAGCAUGCUCUUUCCUUUUCUGCCUAUGACAUAUGCUUUUAGAUUUGGAGGUGGGCUGUUGAAGUAGCUAUACACUGACCUCACACGUAAGCGAUGCUAAGGAUCUUUCAACACUAUCAGAUGCUCAUUACUAAACUGAUGGCUCAAGUCUGACGAAAUCUAUACAAAGUGGGUAGCUUGUCUGUUGUACCGCUGAAGCUUAUUGGAAACAUACUAACUGUCCAACAGUAACGAACUUCAGGCUCGUGAAUGAUUUCAGGCUGUUUGCCGCCGCUGGAAGAAAAUAGGAAGAGGAGGUGGCACGGGGGAGACCAGCGGCAGCGACGGCGCAUCGACAUGCUCGACAAGGAGGCGAGCCAGAGCGCGGGCUGCUGUGAGCGCUGCGUCGCCUGGGAGCCACCGUUGAACAGGUGCUCUUCUCAUCUCCAAUCCGUGAGUCAUCACCACCAAGAAGCAACGGGGGGACUCCACCGCCGCUUACCUCCACCCGCCUCAGUUUGUUUUUCUCUCCUCCCCUGCUGCUACUUCCUCGUUUCUCUCAAAUGAGUAUCUCUGUCUCCUCUUAUCAUUGCCUUUUUUUGAUUGUAUUGAAAUUGAUUCAAAAGAAUAUCAGUUCGUGUGCUGCCAGUUAGAUCGAUCUAUUCAUUGUGGUUGAUUUAGUUUUUAGGAUCUGCCGCCCCCCCCCCCCUUUUUUUCAUUUUUGCGACACACAACAUGUUUCAUGAUGAGACUCAUCAAUUAUCUUUUCAUAUUUUGAUAGUACUAUAUUAUUUACUUUGUGCAACUUUAGUUACCUGUAAGAUGCAAUCCACACCUUCAAAUAUUUGUGUUUCUGGGUGCUCUGUCUUUGACCAUAAAAUCAUGAAAGUUUGUUAAUAACUUAGAAGGAUAUGCUUCCGGUAAUGUGUUUCACGCAUAUUAUGUACUAUUAGUGUGUGAACAAUAUUUUUCAUAGGCUAUACUUGCAAGUAAAUUUGCUCGUCAGGACCAUUCGAAGGCCAAGGCCACAGCUUACCGCGCACUGCAGGUAUGGUUCCUUUUUUCUAUAAAUCUUUUUUUGUCACCUUAGUAAAGAACUGUUCAUUUUGCAUCUCGGAUUGAUCUUGGGGCUUCUCCUGGACCUACUUCUUGGAGUUGGCCUCCAUACAGGUUCUAGAUUAUUUACAGAAACCCACGGUGUACUGCAUCAUAUCUACGUGGCAACACCGGUACAGUUACAGUGUGCUGAAUCAUAAGAGUACUGCAACUCUGAAUCUUGAAAUGUUAAUAGUUACGUUCUUAUGAUUUUCUUGCAGUUCCUGGUACUUGCGAGUAUACCCCUAAAAAAUUAGUACUUGAGAGUAUGACAAUCUUUUCUUAUGUUUGAUUCCCUCAAGGCAAUCUCUUGAACUAAGCAGAGUUAUGUUUCCUAUGUACAGUUUGUUGCUCUCACUCAAUCAAUCAACGCUUUAAGUUUUGUUUUCAACGGUGUCAAUUGACCAUAGUGUUGCAUGAAGCUUUAUCUUUGAUCCUUACCAUAAUAUUGCUUUGUUGAACCAUCUCCGAGCGUAUGGACCUGGUUCUUUUUCGGUACAACUUUCUCUGUCUUUACAUGUUUAUUUAAAUCAUUUACGUUUCCUUUCCAGUUGCAGUGUUGGAGGAUAUAUCCUCCGCCAUGAAUGGACACUGUGAGAUGGCACGGCUCACUGAUGAGGCAAGUGGCCGAGGUGAGAUUAGGAAGAGACAGCGGCACUAACUUACUUGACAAGCUCACAGGAUUCUUCGCCGUUUCAAUAAUAUCCGGUGACAAGGGGUAUUACGAGUUUGAUCCGCAGUUUCAUCAGGACCUUGAUCAACAAGGAAAGCAUUUGCUUGUUGACCAUAUCUUUUACUUGUUUUGAAGGAUUAUACUAUCAUGUUGUUGUCCGUGUUGGUUACCAUGUCGUACCUUUCUUUGCAAUAUCCAUGUUUAGCUUUGUUUAACAUGGCUAGGAGUUGCUUGCUGUAUAAUAAAUGCUUAAGUUGACGAUAAGGUGAUGUUUUGCCUUGGCCUUUUGUUCUAAUCAUUCGUUGUUAUUAUCACAAAUCAUUUCAUCAUUUUUUGGCUUCAUUCUUUCCUUCCUGCUCGCGGCAGGUGCAAGACUCGGGCAACGGGCAGGUACAAGACUCGGGCAACGGUUAAUGGACAAGCACUAUAUACACAAUGCAUCUCUACUAAUAUAACUUACUUUAUAAAGCCAUCAAUGUAUGCUAUUAUCAAAUGAUUUGAAUAUUUUAUUUUAAGCUAUCGUGUAAUGGAAUAUAAGUAUCCA
Triticum dicoccoides is the source of this 3582-nucleotide long non-coding RNA. RefSeq lists it as uncharacterized. The transcript has 5 exons. Lineage: Eukaryota; Viridiplantae; Streptophyta; Magnoliopsida; Poales; Poaceae. The record is from RefSeq and is a predicted model, not a curated record.